ACAAAAACUUAAUAUGUCGCUCAUAUAAUUCUUGGAAUAUGGCCGAGAAGUUUCUACCAAGUGACCGUAAAUCACUUGACUAUGAGUGGAAGUGUACCUAGG
Molecule: non-coding RNA, 102 nt
Filed under: Caldisalinibacter kiritimatiensis
Lineage: Bacteria; Bacillati; Bacillota; Tissierellia; Tissierellales; Thermohalobacteraceae
Description: Guanine sequence
Rfam family: Purine riboswitch aptamer
About the family: Riboswitches are metabolite binding domains within certain messenger RNAs that serve as precision sensors for their corresponding targets.
Source: Rfam by way of RNAcentral